GAUGAACGCUGGCGGCGUGCUUAACACAUGCAAGUCGAACGGAAAGGCCCAAGCUUGCUUGGGUACUCGAGUGGCGAACGGGUGAGUAACACGUGGGUGAUCUGCCCUGCACUUCGGGAUAAGCCUGGGAAACUGGGUCUAAUACCGGAUAGGACCACUUCUUGGAUGUUGUGGUGGAAAGUUUUUUCGGUGUGGGAUGAGCUCGCGGCCUAUCAGCUUGUUGGCGGGGUAAUGGCCUACCAAGGCGUCGACGGGUAGCCGGCCUGAGAGGGUGUACGGCCACAUUGGGACUGAGGUAAGGCCCAGACUCCUACGGGAGGCAGCAGUGGGGAAUAUUGAACAAUGGGCGCAAGCCGGAUGCAGCGACGCCGCGUGGGGGAUGACGGCCUUCGGGUUGUAAACUCCUUUCGCUAGGGACGAAGCGUUUUGUGACGGUACCUGGAGAAGAAGCACCGGCUAACUACGUG
Molecule: ribosomal RNA, 467 nt
Filed under: uncultured bacterium
Lineage: Bacteria
Description: partial 16S ribosomal RNA
Rfam family: Bacterial small subunit ribosomal RNA
Source: RNAcentral